RNAcentral lists this ribosomal RNA (207 nucleotides) under uncultured bacterium. Its description in RNAcentral is "partial 16S ribosomal RNA". It matches the Rfam family "Bacterial small subunit ribosomal RNA", at positions 568 to 774 of the family's 1533-position model. The record is from RNAcentral.
CGCGUAGGCGGCUUGUACAGUCAGACGUGAAAUUCCUGGGCUCAACCUGGGGGCUGCGCUUGAUACGUGCGGGCUUGAGUUCGGAAGAGGGUCGUGGAAUUCCCAGUGUAGAGGUGAAAUUCGUAGAUAUUGGGAAGAACGCCGGUGGCGAAGGCGGCGACCUGGUCCGAUACUGACGCUGAGGCGCGAAAGCGUGGGGAGCAAACA